CCUACGGGGGGCAGCAGUCGAGAAUCAUUCACAAUGGGGGAAACCCUGAUGGUGCGACGCCGCGUGGGGGAAUGAAGGUCUUCGGAUUGUAAACCCCUGUCAUGUGGGAGCAAAUUAAAAAGAUAGUACCACAAGAGGAAGAGACGGCUAACUCUGUGCCAGCAGCCGCGGUAAUACAGAGGUCUCAAGCGUUGUUCGGAAUCACUGGGCGUAAAGUGUGCGUAGGCUGUUUCGUAAGUCGUGUGUGAAAGGCGCGGGCUCAACCCGCGGACGGCACAUGAUACUGCGAGACUAGAGUAAUGGAGGGGGAACCGGAAUUCUCGGUGUAGCAGUGAAAUGCGUAGAUAUCGAGAGGAACACUCGUGGCGAAGGCGGGUUCCUGGACAUUAACUGACGCUGAGGCACGAAAGCCAGGGGAGCGAAAGGGAUUAGAUACCCUAGUAGUC
This 446-nucleotide ribosomal RNA is filed under the name uncultured bacterium. RNAcentral describes it as "partial 16S ribosomal RNA". It matches the Rfam family "Bacterial small subunit ribosomal RNA", at positions 338 to 795 of the family's 1533-position model. The record is from RNAcentral.